This 253-nucleotide ribosomal RNA is filed under the name uncultured bacterium. Its description in RNAcentral is "partial 16S ribosomal RNA". It matches the Rfam family "Bacterial small subunit ribosomal RNA", at positions 524 to 776 of the family's 1533-position model. The record is from RNAcentral.
UAGGGAGGAGGCAAGCGUUAUCCGGAAUUAUUGGGCGUAUAGCGUCCGUAGGUGGUUCACCAAGUCUGCUGUCAAAGGGUGGGGCUUAACCUCAUAAAGGCAGUGGAAACUGGUGAGCUAGAGUGCGGUAGGGGUAAGGGGAAUUCCCAGUGUAGCGGUGAAAUGCGUAGAGAUUGGGAAGAACAUCGGUGGCGAAAGCGCCUUACUGGGCCUGCACUGACACUGAGGGACGAAAGCUAGGGGAGCGAAAGGG